AAUAAAUUGGAGAAAAUUUAAUAUCACUCUUACCUGGAUUCUCAUGUGUUUCUCUUUAAGUGAGAGGGAAGGAAGUUGAGUUACAGAUGGUUAACUCCCACUUGUAUGUCCCGUGCUGGUGAAGUAAUACCAGGUGUACAUCAACUGUUAUGGGAAUGAGGUGGAAACAAGGUAAGAAUCACCAGACUGAGGAUGUUAUGCAUGGAGGAUGUUGCAACUCUCAUGAAUGUUGCUCUCAAAUCUCUUCUCCUUUGGCUCCUAGGGUCUUUGAAUAGAGGUGGGGGGAGCAAACCUCUGCUAAAGUAGACACAGAGAUCAGAAGCAACGAAGUCAAAGCUGCUUCCCACCAAGCUGUGUGGUCCCAGGCAUCAAUAAAUGUCCACAGGACAAAAGCAGUGCCAACUGUGGGGCUCACCUUCCUGGAUUCCUGU
Molecule: long non-coding RNA, 431 nt
Filed under: Homo sapiens (human)
Lineage: Eukaryota; Metazoa; Chordata; Mammalia; Primates; Hominidae
Description: HSALNT0029619
Source: RNAcentral